ACAGAGAUGGCGGGCCUCCGGGCCCCCGUCCCCAACCCUUUGUCGACCAAAAACCUUUUUGCCUCGGGGGCGGAACGUCCGCGUUGGCCCCCGGUGGACCAGCAAAACUCUGUCUCUGUACGUCGGAGCCUUAAUGAAAAUUAAUCA
This 147-nucleotide unclassified non-coding RNA is filed under the name uncultured Capnodiales. Its description in RNAcentral is "sequence contains ITS1". Lineage: Eukaryota; Fungi; Ascomycota; Dothideomycetes; Capnodiales. The record is from RNAcentral.